GUGAGGAAUAUUGCGCAAUGGAGGCAACUCUGACGCAGCCAUGCCGCGUGCAGGAAGAAGGCGCUACGCGUUGUAAACUGCUUUUAACCGGGAAGAAACCCCAGGACGUGUCCUGGGUUGACGGUACCGGAGGAAUAAGCACCGGCUAACUUCGUGCCAGCAGCCGCGGUAAUACGAAGGGUGCAAGCGUUAUCCGGAUUCAUUGGGUUUAAAGGGUGCGUAGGCGGAGCGUUAAGUCAGUGGUGAAAUCCUGCAGCUUAACUGUAGACUGGCCAUUGAUACUGGCGCUCUUGAGUGCGCUUGAAGUGGGCGGAAUGUGCCGUGUAGCGGUGAAAUGCUUAGAUAUGGCACAGAACACCAAUUGCGAAGGCAGCUCACUAAGGCGAUACUGACGCUGAGGCACGAAAGCGUGGGGAUCGAACAGGAUUAGAAACCCGGGUAGUCC
Molecule: ribosomal RNA, 445 nt
Filed under: uncultured bacterium
Lineage: Bacteria
Description: partial 16S ribosomal RNA
Rfam family: Bacterial small subunit ribosomal RNA
Source: RNAcentral